This is an RNA transcript of Mus pahari (shrew mouse), 1280 nucleotides long. It is a transcript of the gene named testin pseudogene, with no coding region annotated. NCBI's taxonomy places the organism in Eukaryota, Metazoa, Chordata, Mammalia, Rodentia, Muridae. The record is from RefSeq and is a predicted model, not a curated record. The transcript has a single exon.
AUGGGCUUAGGUCAUGAGCAAGGAAUUGGAGCCCCCUGUCGAAAGUGCAAAGAAAACUGUGAAGGAUUUGAACUACAUUUCUGGAGGAAAACAUGUCGUAACUGCAAAUGUGAGCAAGAAGAGCAUGGCAUACUCCUGAGCACUGAGAGGGACAGGAAAGUUGGAAGACUCUUUGAAGAUGCCAAGUACAUCAACCUGAUCGCCAAGCUGAAUUCAGAGGCAAUUUCCACAUACAAACCCAAUGGAAUGGUAUUGAGACAUCCAGUGCCUGCAAAGAAGAAGGAUUGCAUUAACACUGUUACCUAUGAUUGGACUCCCUCUGUCCGGAACAAGGCACUGGCCAGGCAGUACAUGCAGAUGCUGCCUAAGGAGAAGCAGCCAGUGACUGGUUCAGAAGGGGCACAGUACCGGAAGAAGCAGUUGGCGAAGCAGCUCCCUGCACAUGACCAGGACCCUUCUAAGUGCCAUGAGUUGUCUUACAAUGAGGUAAAGGAGAUGAGGAAGUUUGUGAAAAAAUACAAGAGUGAGGCUCUGGGAAUAGGUAAUGUGAAACUUCUCUCUGAGAUGAAUGCUCAAGGUGACAAGGUACACAACCCCCCUGGAAUUAGAAACAGCACAGCAGUAGUGGGCUCCAAGGACAAGUCUAAGGAAUCUAAGAAGAGCCAAUAUUCCUGUUACUGCUGCAAACACCCCAUGAAAGAAGGAGACCCAGUCAUCUAUGCUGAAAGGGCUGGCAACAGUAAACUCUGGCACCCGGCUUGUUUUAUCUGCAGCAUCUGUGGAGAAAUCCUGGUAGACAUGGUUUACUUCUGGAAGAAUGGGAAGCUAUACUGUGGCAGACAUUACUGUGACAGUGAGAAGCCCCGUUGUUCUGGCUGUGAUGAGCUAAUAUUUAGCAAUGAAUAUACCCAAGCAGAAAACAAGAAUUGGCAUCUGAAACACUUCUGUUGCAUUGACUGCCACAGUGUCCUGGCAGGAAAAAUAUAUGUGAUGCUCAGAUCCAAGCCUGUGUGCAAGCGCUGCUACAUGCAGAACCAUGCUGUGGUGUGUCAAGGAUGCCACAAUGCCAUCGAUCCAGAAGAGAAGAGAGUAACCUACAAAAUAUUCAGCUGGCAUGCAUCCACAGCAUGUUUCUUAUGCUCUUGCUGCAGCAAGUGUCUUAUCGGAGAAAAGUUCAUUCCUGUAGAAGGGAUGGUUUUCUGUUCCAUGCAGUGUAAGAAUAUGAUGUCCUAAGAGGAGUGUACCAAGCAGGAUGGAGCCAUAGCUGUCUGCAGCAGCCU